Molecule: long non-coding RNA, 1207 nt
Organism: Alexandromys fortis (reed vole)
Lineage: Eukaryota; Metazoa; Chordata; Mammalia; Rodentia; Cricetidae
Exons: 3
Source: RefSeq, a predicted model, not a curated record
CCCGCUGUGACAGACUCUUUUAACACUUUCUCCCACCUGCAGGAUCUGACGUAGGAACUUGUCAGAGUUUCGGACUUCAGCACGAGUCAGCGUUCUACCGUCCUGUUGUGACACAGUGGCACAGGGUUGGCAAGCAGGCUCAGGGCCUGGAGACUUGGUGGCAUCCAGGUCACACCUACAGGGCACUCGGAAUGCGUGGGAUGAGAGAGGUACCUAAAGAUAAAGGCCAACACCAGUUGACACUGCCGGACCUCACCAGAGAAGAGAAGGCCUUGGGAAAGGUCAUAGUGAAGACUCAAUCCUACCUCCGUAUGCCUGCCACACAGUCGGAAGUUCCCCCAGCCAUCCUGCCUGCCCGUGUGAAGCUCCUCCAUGUUAGAAAAAUCAUCUACGCUUCCCAUCUAUUUUGAUGUGGAUUAGAGUGCAACCCCUCCAUCCGCCGACAUCGCCACACCCACAGGUGACCCCUCCAUCCGCUGACAGCUCCACACCCACAGGUGACCCCUCCAUCCGCUGACAUCGCCACACCCACAGGUGACCCCUCCAUCCGCUGACAUCGCCACACCCACAGGCUUAGCUCCAGACCCGUGGCCCGAGAAUGGACUAUUAGAAAGCCCUCUCUGCCUGAAGGGUGUAGCUCUCACCGCUCAUCAAAGAAACUUUCUUCUUCAGCAUACAGAAACCAGCUCAGAAAACCACAGCUGGUUCUUUGUGGUCCAAAUGCAGAAAACAAAUGAUUGUGGGGUGCCCGACCCAAGUGGAUAUAUCUGCAACAUAACUCAUGCACCCAAGACUCAGGAAACUUUGUGGGAAGUGGGGCAGAAAGAUGGCGAGAGCCAGAGGACUAGAAUGACUGCUGUGAGAUUUAGUCUCUUAAACUUAACAGGAAAGUUUCACCCAUGGUACCCCAACCAUAUGGCUGCCUGAAUAAAACCCAAACGAUGACAGCAUGAACAGGUAUGCUCCCAUGGAAGGGGACAUCUCGGGGGGCUACACCCAGAACCAAGAACUAGAGGUAACUAACAACUGCUAAUAGAGGGAGAGAUAGUCUUGGCCAGGGAUGAGCCCCGAUUACGGUUGUCAAUACAAAGUGGCCAUCCCUGAGAUCAUAUGCAUACAAAGAAGACUAAACUGACUAAACAGGUUGUAGUUAUGUACUUACGUGUUCACAUGCCAUAAUAAUCAUCAUCAAAGUAAAAGAGGCGAU